GUUUGAUCAUGGCUCAGAUUGAACGCUGGCAGGAUGCUUUACCACAUACAAGUCGAACGGCAGCACGGACUCCGGUCUGGUGGCGAGUGGCGAACGGGUGAGUAAUGUAUCGGAACGUGCCUAGUAGCGGGGAUAACUACGCGAAAGCGUAGCUAAUACCGCAUACGCCCUUCGGGGGAAAGCGGGGGACCUUCGGGCCUCGCACUAUUAGAGCAGCCGAUAUCGGAUUAGCUAGUUGGUGGGGUAACGGCUCACCAAGGCGACGAUCCGUAGCUGGUUUGAGAGGACGACCAGCCACUGGGACUGAGACACGGCCCAGACUCUACGGGGAGGCAGCAGUGAAAUUGCAGAUAAUGGGAAGCCUGAUCCAGCCAUCCCGCGUGUGCGAUGAAGGCCUUCAGGUUGUAAAGCACUUGCGGCAGGAAAGAAAGCGGCACCGGGAUAAUACCCCGUGCAACUGACGUACCUGCAGAAUAAGCACCGGCACAACCAUUUGCCAACAGCCGCGGUAAUACGUGAGAUUACAAGCGUUAAUCGGAAUUACUGGGCAUCGCUGAUGCCGCAGGCAGUUCGGAAGAAAGAUGUCAAUCCAGAGCUUAACUUUGGAACUGCAUUUUUUAACUACCAAAACUAAGUGUCGAGAGGAGGUGAAUUCCGCGUGUAGCAUUACAAUCACGUAGAUAUGCGGAGGAACACCGAUGGCGAAAGGCCUCGGGAUAACACUGACGCUCAUGCGAAAGCGUAGAGGCUAAACAAGUUGGAAUGCCCUGGUGAUGCACACUUUAACGAUGUCCAACUAGCUGUUUGAGGCCUUCCGGGCCUUGGUGACGCAACUAACGCGUGAAGUUGACCGCCUGGGAGAUACAGUCACAAGAUUAAAACUCAAGGAAUUGGCAGGACUACGCACAAGCGGUGGAUGAUGUGAGUUAAUUCGAUGCAACGCAAGAAAAAUACCCACCUGCCCUUGACAUGUCUGGAUCCCGAAGAGAUUUGGGAGUGCUCCGCAAGAGAACCGGAACACAGGUGCUGCAUGGCUGUCGUCAGCUCGUGUCGUGAGAUGUUGGGUUAAGUCCCGCAACAGGCGCAACCCUUGUCAUUAGUUGCUACCCGAAGGGCACUCUAUUGGGGGCUGCCAGUGACAAGCCGGAGGAAGGUGGGGAUGACGUCAAGUCCUCGCUGGCCCUUAUGGUGAACCCCACCGCGUCAUACAAUGGUCGGGACAGGGUCGCCAACCCGCAGGGGAGCCAAUCCCGAAACCCGAUCGUAGUCCGGAUCGCAGUCUGCAACUCGACUGCGUGAAGUCGGAAUCGCUAUCAAUCGCGGAUCAGCAUGUCGCAGUGAAUACGUUCCCGAGGUCUUGUACACACCGCCCGUCACACCAUGGGAGUGGGUUUUACCAGAAGUAGUUAAGCCUAACCGUAAGGAGGGCGAUUACCACGGUGGGAUUCAUGACUGGGGUGAAGUCUUGCUCGGGUAG
This 1477-nucleotide ribosomal RNA is filed under the name uncultured Bordetella sp. Its description in RNAcentral is "partial 16S-23S ribosomal RNA intergenic spacer". It matches the Rfam family "Bacterial small subunit ribosomal RNA". The record is from RNAcentral. Lineage: Bacteria; Pseudomonadati; Pseudomonadota; Betaproteobacteria; Burkholderiales; Alcaligenaceae.